Molecule: ribosomal RNA, 450 nt
Filed under: uncultured bacterium
Lineage: Bacteria
Description: bacterial SSU rRNA
Rfam family: Bacterial small subunit ribosomal RNA
Source: RNAcentral
GUGGGGAAUUUUGGACAAUGGGCGCAAGCCUGAUCCAGCAAUGCCGCGUGCAGGAAGAAGGCCUUCGGGUUGUAAACUGCUUUUGUGCGGAACGAAACGGUCCGGGUUAAUACCCUGGGCUAAUGACGGUACCGUAAGAAUAAGCACCGGCUAACUACGUGCCAGCAGCCGCGGUAAUACGUAGGGUGCAAGCGUUAAUCGGAAUUACUGGGCGUAAAGCGUGCGCAGGCGGAUUUGUAAGACAGGCGUGAAAUCCCCGGGCUCAACCUGGGAAUUGCGCUUGUGACUGCAAGGCUGGAGUGCGGCAGAGGGGGAUGGAAUUCCGCGUGUAGCAGUGAAAUGCGUAGAUAUGCGGAGGAACACCGAUGGCGAAGGCAAUCCCCUGGGCCUGCACUGACGCUCAUGCACGAAAGCGUGGGGAGCAAACAGGAUUAGAUACCCCUGUAGUCC